AAUGAUGGACAUGAUAUAAUGAAACAACAUUGUGGAGAGGAAAGCAUUAGGGGAGCCCACGGCUACAAAACAAGUGAGAAGAGGUGGGAGAAAGAGAAACUACGCCACCUCCUCUGCAGCCGAGCGCACGCAGCAGCCUGGCGUGACAAGUGGGCGACGCCAGGGACAGAGAGUGGGGGUCCUCCGCCCGCUCCGGGGACCCUGUCGCCCACCGUGGUGCGCUGAGCAACUUUUAGCCGGCAGCCCCGCACCUGUCUCAGAGUCCCCAUCGCUCCCCACCAACCAUCAUGGGAAAAUUCUAGAAGAAUACGCUCUCGGAAUCUACGUGCGCAUCAUUUUCCUCCUCACUCCAGAGGAAGGAACCAGAAAAGAGAGCAAAGCGGUGUAGUGUUCAGCCUCAAGGCUGCACAGAUACCUGACUCUGGGCUCUCAGGAAGACUCAGGCAGAGAUGGGGAGUCGGCCUGCAAGCUGGGACGCUAGAGCUCACGUGCAGUUCUCCAUUUAGCUAGGAGGUUUCCAGGGCAACCACCGAAGCAGUAAUUAAAGAUGAAGAGCUAAAAGAGAGAAGAAUAGCAGCAACCUGGUCUCUUUUCACGGAACACAGUAAGCCACCAAAGAGGUGUGGACAGCCAGCGACCUCCACGGAAAUCAUAAGGGC
RNAcentral lists this small RNA (659 nucleotides) under Mus musculus (house mouse). Its description in RNAcentral is "p53 induced noncoding transcript variant C". The record is from RNAcentral. Lineage: Eukaryota; Metazoa; Chordata; Mammalia; Rodentia; Muridae.